AUGGAUCAAGCAGGCAAGUGACUGGCUCAAGGGAGAAUUGUCAUGAUGCUCGUAACUUAUUUUCAAAUAGUUCACAGAACAAAAUAUAUACAUAUAAAUACAGAGAAAGCAAAUGUGAUAAAGUGCUGAAUCAAGGUUUCUUUGACAGCAAAAUAUGGAUGUGAGCAAAGUGGACAGAGUGCAUGGGAGAGUAAAGAAAAAGCCCUCAAAAAGGACAUUUCUCCAUCUCUAGAAAACCUUGCCAGUAAAGUGCUUGUGAAAAUUUUGCCUACUUCCUAACUUACCCUUGCUUUCCCCGUCAAUAUCACCCCCAAAAUCUUUUUGAUAUUUAAUAGAGAACAACUUAUAAUUCCCAAAGAUGACCAUCCAUAGAUUUAAAAGAGCCUACUCUUCUAGAGAAAAUAAAGGUCUCUUAUUUACCUUU
Molecule: non-coding RNA, 424 nt
Organism: Equus caballus (horse)
Lineage: Eukaryota; Metazoa; Chordata; Mammalia; Perissodactyla; Equidae
Source: RefSeq, a predicted model, not a curated record